UGGCGUAUGCGCAGGGAUCUCGCUGAGCAUUAAAUUCUCCUCGGUUAAGCCACGCCCCCUCGUCGGUUAAGCCCCGCCUUUUCGCCCCCUCCCGAUUUCUGUUUGGUGUAGGCCUGAAGGAGUGAUGGAGCAUCUGAUGGGGGUGUGAACAGCCCAGGGAACACAGGUGGAAGCAAUUCCCCUGUGGGGUGGGAAGGGGAGGAGCCAAAGCCCACCCUGAGCUCAUUUAAAGGCUGGAAGCUGAAGGGGGAGGAUCAGUGCUUGGUGGUUGCUCUGGCUGUUUGGUAAGCACCAAAACAGUUUGCUGGACUGGAGACUCAACCAUCAGAUGCCGUUGUUAUUCCUGGUCUCCCCAGAUUGCAACGUUGGAUGUGCCCUGAUCCUUGGAAAGGGGUAAGUGAUUCCUUCAUCCUUACCAGAAGGUGAUCUCUACUUACCUUAUCUUGUGUCCAUCAGGUGGCAGUGGAGAGUUGUGACCCUCCCGAGCGGUGCAAGGAUUCUACUGAGGCUCUUGGUGGACACAGUAGGAACCCACAGCCUGAGAUGGACGCCAAGAUCCACUCCUUCCUUUGUCUGGCAAGCUCUGCUGACCCGUGAGGUCAUUCCCAUGCUUGCAGAGGUCCUGUGGGCUUGGUGUUGGUUGUCCUUUGUGCUCACCUUGCUGUCACUGGCUGUUCUUCCUUUACCCAUCUUUAGGGCUCCUCAGUUCUGGUGGGAUCUCAGUACCCACUGCUGAUUCCACCAAACCUUGAUCUCUUUUUUUUCUUUUUGAGUUCAGUAUUGUUUCUUUUACUUACUGUUCUUACUUGAAAGAUAUUGGUUUCUAGAGCCUUCUGUCAAUAGGAAAACUGUAAUGUAAGGGCUGGAAGCAAUGAUUGACAACCUGGUGCAGGAUUUAAACAGCUGGUGCACAGGUGAUGUAAUUAACCUGGAGGUGGGACUGGGUGGAGCCAGAGCCCACCCUGAGCUCAUUUAAAGGCUGGAAGCUGAAGGGGAGGGGUCUGUGCCUGGUGGUUGCUCUGGCUGUUUGGUUGGGUGAGUGCUGAGCCUUGGGAAGGGCUACGUUGUUGUUGUUUCUUUGCUUGAUGCUGAUCUGUUUGUUUUUGGUUCAGUGUUGAGCAGAAGGUUCUGGACACCAGGACUUCUUCCAGGCGGUGUGAGGACUCCACUGAGGACCUUGGUGGACGCAGCUGGAAGCCACAGCCAAGGCUGGACACCAACAUCCACACUUGAUCUUGUCUGGCAAGAUGUAUUGCUCCCAGAGAGUGUUCUUGCUCUUCCGGUGGUUUGAUGGGAUUGGUGUCAGUUUGUACUCAUGCUCACUGGGCUUUCCAGGGGUGUUCUACUUGCAUUACACCAUCUUUCCCACCCUCUAUUUCCAAGUAGGAGCUCCCCUUGGCCUCCAUGUCUCGCUCUGGCCAGGCAGAUGUGGUGUGCCAAUGGUACACAGAGUCCAGACCCUGAGCAGAAGAACAGCUGAGGAGAGAGGCUGCCCUGGGUGAGACAGGAGAAGUGCCCCUUGAAGUGGGGGACGCCCCGCUGGUGCUGCCUCUCGCAUCCACCGGCAGCAUGUUCCUUUUAAAUUAUAUUCUCUCUUCUGAUCUCAGUUUGCUGCUCAAUGGGGUUUAAGGAUUGUUAGGGCUCCUCUAAUCGGUGGUGUGAGGCCUGUGGAGCAGGUAAUGGAACAUCACGAGUCCCAUGUUGGUGCAUUGCUUGUGUGCAGGUAGGUUUGCGGUGACUGUAGGAAGCUCACUUAGAGAUUGAAUGGGGUUGCGAGGGGCUCACCUCAAUGCAGGGGGUCUGUUAUCUCAUCCCAAUGAGCCUCAUGGCUGAUGAUAGAGUGAGGUGCAUCAGCCGGGACCUGAAGAACACUCCUGAACCCCAGUGGCCAUUUGCUUCAACCUCACUCAGUAUAAUACAGUCUGCACCACUUGAGCAUACUGACCACAGGUAUUCUGUUCCUGUUUGCUGCUUCUCUCAUGUAUCUCCCUUACUGAUUCGUCAGUGAAAAUGGAUCCCAGGGCAUCACUCUCAGAGCACAUCACGGCUGACUACCCCAGGGUCUUACUGUCAUUUCUGUUUCAGCAGAAGAUCUGGGUUUGUGUUAAUAAAAAAGAAAGGGUUGUCCUCUUCUGGAUGACUAUGGUCGGGAUCUCUCCAUAUAACUCAUCCCAAUUGUCAGGAGAUGCUAUUUGUUUCCUAAUCUGUAUGAUACCCUGUAUGAUAUUGGCCCUGCCUGGAAGGGAGGUUGGAGAUUCAUGAUCCUUGAGGUCCCUUCCGACCCAGACCAUUCUUCCUCCCCAUGCCUCUUCCUCCCAUCCCCUGACCCCCAUUAAGUAGCUUAUAAACAGCAUUAAUUAUAUCCCUAAUG
This 2371-nucleotide long non-coding RNA is filed under the name Gallus gallus (chicken). Its description in RNAcentral is "long non-coding RNA NONGGAT003200". The record is from RNAcentral. Lineage: Eukaryota; Metazoa; Chordata; Aves; Galliformes; Phasianidae.